This 448-nucleotide ribosomal RNA is filed under the name uncultured bacterium. RNAcentral's name for it is "SSU rRNA". It matches the Rfam family "Bacterial small subunit ribosomal RNA", at positions 26 to 518 of the family's 1533-position model. The record is from RNAcentral.
AGGACGAACGCUGGCGGCAGGCCUAACACAUGCAAGUCGAACGGGCGUAGCAAUACGUCAGUGGCGCACGGGUGAGUAACGCGUGGGUACCUGUCUGGUGGUAGGGAAUAACCGCGGGAAACUGCGGCUAAUACCCUAUGUGUCCUUCGGGACAAAGAUUUAUCGCCAUCAGGUGGGCCCGCGUAGGAUUAGCUAGUUGGUGAGGUAAUGGCUCACCAAGGCGACGAUCCUUAGCUGGUCUGAGAGGACGAUCAGCCACACUGGGACUGAGACACGGCCCAGACUCCUACGGGAGGCAGCAGUGGGGAAUAUUGGACAAUGGGGGCAACCCUGAUCCAGCCAUGCCGCGUGAGUGAUGAAGGCCUUCGGGUUGUAAAGCUCUUUUGGCGGGGACGAUGAUGACGGUACCCGCAGAAUAAGCUCCGGCUAACUUCGUGCCAGCAGCCGC